ACGAAGCAAAGGAGCUCCAGCUGGAGUGUUUCACUCUGCUGCCAUCUUGAUGAAAAGCCUCCCAUUCAAGUUUUGUCUGAGACAGUCAACAUUUUGUGUAGCUUCUCGUGGCAGGACAAUGUGCUUUGAGGUAGUGUGGACCAGAGAACUUCCCAUUGUACAUCUUCCAGCCUUUAACAAGACCUCCUCAACUUCAAAUAACCACAUCAGGCUAGCCAAACACUUCUGAUCUGGAAGAAUGUAACAAAACUCCUUGUACUGAGCUUCUCGUGGCAGGACAAUGUGCUUUGAGGGAGCGUGGACCAGAGAACUUCCAACCUUUAACAAGACCUCCUCAACUUCAAAUAACUACAUCAGGCUAACCAAACACUUCUGAUCUGGAAGACUGAAACAAAACUCCUUAUACUGAGCUGCUAGAUACAGCUCUCUCCAUGCUGCUGCAAAAACGUGGAGUUCAUUCUUUUGGUUUUUCCUUUCUCCUGGACUGGAAAUAACAUCUGAGGAACCUGUCCUACCAAAAGAACAUACUGGGAAAUCAUAUGCCCCUGGCCACAACUGCCUCUCCAUCAGAGCAGGGAUAGGAAAAUUCUGCACGUGCAAACAGUGAUCGAACAUUGUGCACUGCUGACACGCAAAGGAAUCAAAUCGACAAGUGUGAAAUCACUUUGGGCACGUUUCUGCUGGUCAGUGCUGUGGCCCAUCCUGAGGACUGCGAUCUAAUGAGACGUGGAUCCAACGCAUGUUGAACAUGGAUGAUGAAUGGAUUCAACUCCAGGAGAAAGGGCCUUGCAACAUGACAGGACAUGCAAGUGUUUGCUGGCAAGAAGUGACAAAAGACGGGCACUCAUGGAAGGUCAGACUUGAUCACCACCCAAAAGCACUGACAACACUUUUGGAGCAUCUGCCUGAAAACUGAACCAGUUUGACUUCAGUGCACCUCAUGCUCAUUUUCCUGGGAUUUCUGUCCUGCAGCCUUUGAGCCAUUGACAUUCGAUUAAACUGGUCCUAGUUCAUCCUCUUUGCAAAUUACAUUUGCCGUAGGGCUCUCAUAUGCUGCAACAAAAGGCACACUCAAACUUGAUUCCUGCUAUUCAUGACAACUUGUCUUAAGUGCACAGAGGCUGUUUAGUUGUCAACAAAACAGUUUAUAAUAUCAUAGACAUGUUCGGUGAGGGUGGACG
Rhincodon typus (whale shark) is the source of this 1181-nucleotide long non-coding RNA. RefSeq lists it as uncharacterized. The record is from RefSeq and is a predicted model, not a curated record. Lineage: Eukaryota; Metazoa; Chordata; Chondrichthyes; Orectolobiformes; Rhincodontidae. The transcript has 6 exons.